UGGGGAAUAUUGGACAAUGGGGGAAACCCUGAUCCAGCAAUGCCGCGUGGGUGAUGGAGGCCUUCGGGUUGUAAAGCCCUUUUGGCGGGGACGAUGAUGACGGUACCCGCAGAAUAAGCCCCGGCUAACUUCGUGCCAGCAGCCGCGGUAAUACGAAGGGGGCUAGCGUUGUUCGGAAUUACUGGGCGUAAAGGGCGCGCAGGCGGCUUUGUAAGUUGGGCGUGAAAGGCCUGGGCUUAACCCGGGAAUGGCGCUUGAGACUGCAAGGCUCGAGUACGGGAGAGGAUGGUGGAAUUCCCAGUGUAGAGGUGAAAUUCGUAGAUAUUGGGAAGAACACCGGUGGCGAAGGCGGCCAUCUGGACCGUAACUGACGCUGAGGCGCGAAAGCGUGGGGAGCAA
This 399-nucleotide ribosomal RNA is filed under the name uncultured bacterium. RNAcentral describes it as "bacterial SSU rRNA". It matches the Rfam family "Bacterial small subunit ribosomal RNA", at positions 355 to 771 of the family's 1533-position model. The record is from RNAcentral.